AGUGAACGCUGGCGGUAGGCCUAACACAUGCAAGUCGAACGGCAGCACAGUAAGAGCUUGCUCUUACGGGUGGCGAGUGGCGGACGGGUGAGGAAUACAUCGGAAUCUACUUUUUCGUGGGGGAUAACGUAGGGAAACUUACGCUAAUACCGCAUACGACCUACGGGUGAAAGCAGGGGAUCUUCGGACCUUGCGCGAUUGAAUGAGCCGAUGUCGGAUUAGCUAGUUGGCGGGGUAAAGGCCCACCAAGGCGACGAUCCGUAGCUGGUCUGAGAGGAUGAUCAGCAACACUGGAACUGAGACACGGUCCAGACUCCUACGGGAGGCAGCAGUGGGGAAUAUUGGACAAUGGGCGCAAGCCUGAUCCAGCCAUACCGCGUGGGUGAAGAAGGCCUUCGGGCUGUAAAGCCCUUUUGUUGGGAAAGAAAAGCAGCAGGUUAAUACCCCGCUGUUCUGACGGUACCCAAAGAAUAAGCACCGGCUAACUUCGUG
RNAcentral lists this ribosomal RNA (492 nucleotides) under uncultured bacterium. RNAcentral's name for it is "partial 16S ribosomal RNA". It matches the Rfam family "Bacterial small subunit ribosomal RNA", at positions 29 to 507 of the family's 1533-position model. The record is from RNAcentral.